AUGCUUACUUCAGCAGCACUUAUACUAAAAUUGGAACUACACAGAGAAGAUUAGCAUGACCCCUGUGCAAGGGUGACAUGCAAAUUUGCAAAACAUAUUUUUAUUAU
This is a small nuclear RNA of Mesoplodon densirostris (Blainville's beaked whale), 107 nucleotides long. Lineage: Eukaryota; Metazoa; Chordata; Mammalia; Artiodactyla; Ziphiidae. The record is from RefSeq and is a predicted model, not a curated record.